AAGUCGUAACAAGGUUUCCGUAGGUGAACCUGCGGAAGGAUCAUUACAACGUAUCCACGUACCAAACUCUCGAACCGUUCCCAACGAAGCAAACACUUGUGGAUGAAGUUAAUGGCUGUCUGUCUUUCGCUGAUGGAGUCCGCUGACUUUUGUCAAAGGGACUGAAAGGCAUUCGGUCGCCGGAGCUCGUCUCUGGGGCUUCGUUUACUUCGUUGCGGUUUUACCGUCAGCGUUUGUAAUACCAUUAUUGACCCUUUGAACUUAUGAACUGAACUUGAUAGCUUUGCAGCUGUCCUUGCUGGCUUCGGUCACGGACAUAACUGCUCAGCUUAUCACAUUUACAAAACAAAGAACAACUCUUAGCAACGGAUAUCUUGGUUCUC
Molecule: unclassified non-coding RNA, 383 nt
Filed under: fungal sp.
Lineage: Eukaryota; Fungi
Also listed under: 1 other name
Description: partial internal transcribed spacer region
Rfam family: Eukaryotic small subunit ribosomal RNA (bases 1-46)
Source: RNAcentral